AGCUCCAAUAGCGUAUAUUAAAGUUGCUGCAGUUAAAAAGCUCGUAGUUGCAUUUCCGAGGCAAGGGAUUAGUCCGACCUUUGGUGGGUAUUUAAUCCUCUUGCCUCGUCCUUGAGUGGUGCUUCUUGGUAUUAAGUUAUCGAGGAGAUAGCCGCACAACGUUUACUGUGAGAAAAUUAGAGUGUUCAAAGCAGGCUUAUGCCGUUGAAUAUAUUAGCAUGGAAUAAUAAGAUAGGACCUCGGUACUAUUUUGUUGGUUUGAGAACCAAGGUAAUGAUGAAUAGGGACAGUUGGGGGUAUUCGUAUUCAGUUGUCAGAGGUGAAAUUCUUAGAUUUACGGAAGACGAACUACUGCAAAAGCAUUUACCAAGGAUGUUUUCA
This 381-nucleotide ribosomal RNA is filed under the name uncultured marine Chaetocerotaceae. RNAcentral's name for it is "SSU rRNA". It matches the Rfam family "Eukaryotic small subunit ribosomal RNA", at positions 587 to 972 of the family's 1831-position model. Lineage: Eukaryota; Bacillariophyta; Thalassiosirophyceae; Chaetocerotales; Chaetocerotaceae. The record is from RNAcentral.